This 320-nucleotide ribosomal RNA is filed under the name uncultured eukaryote. Its description in RNAcentral is "partial 18S ribosomal RNA". It matches the Rfam family "Eukaryotic small subunit ribosomal RNA", at positions 1470 to 1796 of the family's 1831-position model. The record is from RNAcentral.
CCCUUAGAUGUUCUGGGCGGCCCGCGCACUACAAUGGCGCUUUCAGCGAGUUCCUAUGUUGAAUUUUCCUGGGUAUUCUUGGAAGCGGCGUCUUGACUUGGGAUAGAUCCUUGUAAUUGUUGGUUUUGAACGAGGAAUUCCUUGUAAUCGCGAUUCAUCAUAUCGCGCUGAAUACGUCCCUGCCCUUUGUACACACCGCCCGUCGCUCCUACCGAUUGAGCGAUCCGGUGAAUGUUUUGGACUGGCGUCAGAAGCGGUUCGCUCCUGACACUACGAAAUUUUGUAAACCUUAUCGCUUAGAGGAAGGAAAAGUCGUAACA